RNAcentral lists this unclassified non-coding RNA (267 nucleotides) under Hevea brasiliensis (rubber tree). The record is from RNAcentral. Lineage: Eukaryota; Viridiplantae; Streptophyta; Magnoliopsida; Malpighiales; Euphorbiaceae.
GUUUACAUAGAAGAUUGAUGAUGCUAAGCAAAACUCCAACUAUAAGAAGGCUUUGUUCUUGGAUUCGAAGAUGAAAUACUCUCCAAGAGCUGAACAUUUCAAGCAUGCCUUCUCAGUUUACAAACCAGACUGAAGACCUCUCCUCCAUUAAACCUCCAAGCCCGAAGUGAAUUCCUUCCAUAAGGAAUGAGAUAAUCAUGUGCGUGUACUUAGAAGUUACUUUCCCUUUUAUUGCUGAAACCUGAUAGCUGUCCUAAUGACCCUGAU